Non-coding RNA from Russula earlei, 70 nucleotides. NCBI's taxonomy places the organism in Eukaryota, Fungi, Basidiomycota, Agaricomycetes, Russulales, Russulaceae. The record is from the annotation of a GenBank genome assembly.
UCGACCCCAGCUCAGUGGUAGAGCGCGGCAUUGGUAUUUAUGGUCGUGUGUUCGAUUCAGUCGGGUCGGA